Molecule: ribosomal RNA, 897 nt
Filed under: uncultured Bacteroidota bacterium
Lineage: Bacteria; Pseudomonadati; Bacteroidota
Description: bacterial SSU rRNA
Rfam family: Bacterial small subunit ribosomal RNA
Source: RNAcentral
GGAUCCAGACUUUGAUUCUGGCUCAGGAUGAACGCUAGCUACAGGCUUAACACAUGCAAGUCGAGGGGCAGCGGGAUUGAAGCUUGCUUCAAUUGCCUGCGACCGGCGCACGGGUGAGUAACGCGUAUCCAACCUUCCGUACACUCAGGGAUAGCCUUUCGAAAGAAAGAUUAAUACCUGAUGGUAUGAUGAGAUUGCAUGAUAGCAUCAUUAAAGAUUUAUCGGUGUACGAUGGGGAUGCGUUCCAUUAGGUAGUAGGCGGGGUAACGGCCCACCUAGCCAACGAUGGAUAGGGGUUCUGAGAGGAAGGUCCCCCACAUUGGAACUGAGACACGGUCCAAACUCCUACGGGAGGCAGCAGUGAGGAAUAUUGGUCAAUGGACGAGAGUCUGAACCAGCCAAGUAGCGUGAAGGAUGAAGGUCCUACGGAUUGUAAACUUCUUUUAUAAGGGAAUAAACCCUCCCACGUGUGGGAGCUUGUAUGUACCUUAUGAAUAAGCAUCGGCUAACUCCGUGCCAGCAGCCGCGGUAAUACGGAGGAUGCGAGCGUUAUCCGGAUUUAUUGGGUUUAAAGGGAGCGCAGACGGGUCGUUAAGUCAGCUGUGAAAGUUUGGGGCUCAACCUUAAAAUUGCAGUUGAUACUGGCGUCCUUGAGUGCGGUUGAGGUGUGCGGAAUUCGUGGUGUAGCGGUGAAAUGCUUAGAUAUCACGAAGAACUCCGAUUGCGAAGGCAGCACACUAAUCCGUAACUGACGUUCAUGCUCGAAAGUGUGGGUAUCAAACAGGAUUAGAUACCCUGGUAGUCCACACGGUAAACGAUGGAUACUCGCUGUUGGCGAUAUACUGUCAGCGGCUUAGCGAAAGCGUUAAGUAUCCCACCUGGGGAGUACGCCGGCAA